UGUCGUACUAGAGUUCAGGAGGGGAAGCUGGAAUUCCUGGUGUAGGGGUGAAAUCUGUAGAUAUCAGGAAGAACAUCAGUGGCGAAGGCGAGCUUCUGGCCAUGAACUGACGCUGAGGCGCGAAAGCGUGGGGAGCGAACAGGAUUAGAUACCCUGGUAGUCCACGCUGUAAACGAUGUGCACUAGGUGUUGGGCCACGAAGGUCCAGUGCCGGAGUUAACGCGUUAAGUGCACCGCCUGGGGAGUAUGCUCGCAAGGGUGAAACUCAAAGGAAUUGACGGGGGCCCGCACAAGCGGUGGAGCAUGUGGUUUAAUUCGAUGAUACGCGAGGAACCUUACCAGGGCUCGACAUCUGCCUGACGGCGGUAGAGAUAUCGCUUCCCUUCGGGGCAG
This 393-nucleotide ribosomal RNA is filed under the name uncultured bacterium. RNAcentral's name for it is "bacterial SSU rRNA". It matches the Rfam family "Bacterial small subunit ribosomal RNA", at positions 634 to 1029 of the family's 1533-position model. The record is from RNAcentral.